CGGAGGGUGCAAGCGUUAAUCGGAAUUACUGGGCGUAAAGCGCACGCAGGUGGCUGAGUCAGUCGAUUGUGAAAGCCCUGGGCUUAACCUGGGAAUUGCAGUCGAUACUACUCGGCUCGAGUAUGGGAGAGGGCAGUGGAAUUCCCGGUGUAGCGGUGAAAUGCGUAGAUAUCGGGAGGAACAUCAGUGGCGAAGGCGGCUGCCUGGCCCAAUACUGACACUCAGGUGCGACAGCGUGGGGAGCGAACAGGAUUAGAUACCCUGGUAGUCCACGCCGUAAACGAUGAGAACUAGAUGUCGGGGGGGAUUAGCCCCUCGGUGUCGUAGCUAACGCGCUAAGUUCUCCGCCUGGGGAGUACGGCCGCAAGGUUG
RNAcentral lists this ribosomal RNA (372 nucleotides) under uncultured organism. RNAcentral describes it as "bacterial SSU rRNA". It matches the Rfam family "Bacterial small subunit ribosomal RNA", at positions 526 to 896 of the family's 1533-position model. The record is from RNAcentral.